CGCGUAGGCGGCUUGCCAAGUCAGGGGUGAAAUCCUGCAGCUCAACUGUAGAAGUGCCUUUGAUACUGGCGAGCUCGAGGGAGGUAGGGGUGGGUGGAACUUCUGGUGGAGCGGUGAAAUGCGUUGAUAUCAGAAGGAACGCCGGUGGCGAAAGCGACCCACUGGAUCUCUACUGACGCUGAGGCGCGAAAGCUAGGGGAGCGAACG
This 207-nucleotide ribosomal RNA is filed under the name uncultured bacterium. RNAcentral's name for it is "partial 16S ribosomal RNA". It matches the Rfam family "Bacterial small subunit ribosomal RNA", at positions 568 to 774 of the family's 1533-position model. The record is from RNAcentral.